This 84-nucleotide small nucleolar RNA is filed under the name Citrus sinensis (sweet orange). The record is from RNAcentral. Lineage: Eukaryota; Viridiplantae; Streptophyta; Magnoliopsida; Sapindales; Rutaceae.
UGGCUACGAUUAUACAUUUAUCGCGCUUCUAUGAAGCACAAGGAAUUACAAAAAAAAAAAGGUCGAAUUUCUUGAUAUGAGCCA